GGGCUGUGUCGUUUUGUUCUUGUUGUCGUUGUUGAGAGUCAGUUUAAAGUGCUCUCUUGCACAAAAGGCAGUGCACCACAAGUCUCUUGAACAAAAGAACCUAACUGACUCUAUGUGUUUUACGAGGACAGAUUUAGAGCACUGUGUUAGUAGAGGAUCCUAUAUAUAGAGGGAGGUUGGGAGGCUUUCUGCAGUUGUCGAGGCGUCUCCCUGAAGCUGCUGAAUCACACUGACAACAGUAGCCAUGGACCUUCAAGGACUUGUACAAGCGAUCACUCUCGUCAGUGCUAUGGCCCUUUUCUUUUACGUGAACCCCAUGAACGCGCUUUGCGCCGCUCCAGUCGAGUGUGGACUGUGUAACAAUCAGUCCGAGGCCUGCUACCCGUAAGCCGACCAAGCAACGAGAACCGGAAUGUUACAACGAACUCCUUCUCAACUUUUCAAACGAUGACGACCUGGACUACUCCUUUCCUUCAAAGCUCUUUGAACUUCUUAUAAUAACCUUCUCUAAACAACAAGAAAGCAUGAUAAUCCCACACGGUGUGCUUUAAGUCUGGGAACCUUCAACUCCCACGAUGUUCGUCAGCUUUCUUCUUCUCUUCUUUUUCCCACCCCCUUUCCCGCUGUGGAUCCUUUCUCUCUGCCUACUUCUCUGUCUGUUUGUCUGUCUGUAACCCUCCCUGCCCCCACCCCGCUUUACCUUUAAAAAAACAACCCAACUCUUUUCACUGAAAAUUGACGAAGAGAAAAAUUGUUCUACACUCUCUCUGUCUUACACAAAUGCUCCAUCAACAAUGUUAUUUAUUAUGCAUGUAUGUAAAUAACCAAUACAAUCAAAUAAUUGAGUACCUUAUUAAUCGUGUACAGAAUAAAUAAUGCUCAUCUGCCGUGCAUAACUUAUGUACCAGAAUAAAACUUCACAACAUCAUCUUG
Aplysia californica (California sea hare) is the source of this 933-nucleotide long non-coding RNA. RefSeq lists it as uncharacterized. Lineage: Eukaryota; Metazoa; Mollusca; Gastropoda; Aplysiida; Aplysiidae. The record is from RefSeq and is a predicted model, not a curated record. The transcript is spliced from 4 exons.